CGCAGGACGUUGAGCUGCUAUAGCAACGGCUCCAGCUUGUUCCCGGAAACUGGACAGGUGAAGGACUCGUUUAGCAUGCUAGUCAAGUUGUCUGUGACUGUAACUAGCGCCUUAACUAAUUCAGUUCAUGGUGUAAUGACAAAUAAGUGAUCUCUUCCGGUGUUUUUUUCAGCGGGGGAGAACGCCAUGACUGUCCGGUUCAAGUGUCAGAGUGAAUAUCAGAAAAGCUACAAGGCUUCCCGGUCAAGAAGUGUUUCUCCUCAGCGCUGUGCCCAUUUGCCGGCCUGCGCUCUGACCAGAUGGACAGACAAACUACUCAUGACUGGGUUACUCACAGAAUCAGCUGCAAUGUGAGUCCUCUGAUUCAGAUUUGGCUGCAUACACAAUCCGCUACACUGUGAAUCCUCUGAUUCAGAUUUGUCCUUUCAGGUGUGACUGGGUAAUUCUCGCUCAAAUGACUCAAGUGACACAAGUAACAUGUACUAUCUGGAUCCUAUCAGUGACUGAUUCAGAAUGAUCCAGAUUCUUAAAAUGAUCUGAGAUUCCCAUGACGACACAGCACCACCCCAACACAGUUUUUUUUUUUUCAUAUUUAUAUUAAUAAGAGUAAGAUAAAUAAAAGCUAAAUCUGGCGACAUGUAGUUCUAUCCUUAUGGCUACUGUGCUUGGUGAGGACAGUUUAAUAUCACCACAAAAGAUGCCAUGAGGUCACUGCUGAUGGAAAUGUAUGUAGAUGCUAAUUUUUUUGUAGGAAGCCCCCACCUCAUAAAAACUAUACAUGCAAGAAUCAUAUAUUGCCAAUGGGUCGGAGGCUAAAUCACCAUUUUGUUAACUCAUUUGGCAUUUCAGAAGACUUAACAUGCCAGGACUCACUAGGACUU
Long non-coding RNA from Sphaeramia orbicularis (orbiculate cardinalfish), 881 nucleotides. RefSeq lists it as uncharacterized. Lineage: Eukaryota; Metazoa; Chordata; Actinopteri; Kurtiformes; Apogonidae. The record is from RefSeq and is a predicted model, not a curated record. The transcript is spliced from 3 exons.